Gavia stellata (red-throated loon) is the source of this 1724-nucleotide long non-coding RNA. RefSeq lists it as uncharacterized. The transcript has 4 exons. NCBI's taxonomy places the organism in Eukaryota, Metazoa, Chordata, Aves, Gaviiformes, Gaviidae. The record is from RefSeq and is a predicted model, not a curated record.
GGAGCAGCCUGGCGGCUGUGCGCAGGGCCUGGCUGGAGCCGGGCUGCUUUAGGGCGGAGGUGCCUCAGCGAGCUCUCCGCAGGAGGGGCCGGAGCAGGAUCUUCUGACAAGCUUGAAACUAAGGUGAGGCGACUAGAGCAGACUGGUCACCAAGUCGGCUUCUCUGCGAUACAGGGCAGGGAUCCGCUCGUAGAUGUCUUUGAAGCUUGAAGGGAAGAUGCUGCAUGAGAUGAAAAGCCUUGUCCUCGAGGAGCCAAAGUGUUGGCUGGAUGUUAUCUCUGUUUGGAGAAAGCUUCAUGGGCGUGAGGGGCAAAAAGACAAUGUCUCUCAAGAAAACCCAUCGCUUCUCAAGAGCAAAUCAGAAGAAGAGACAAAUAUUGCAAGCGACAGGCAGAAACCCAAACAAGUGAGAGAGACCGUGUCUGAGCAACGUCAGGCGGAAGCUGGAGAGAGGGUGACAGCGGUGGUCCUCUCACCUGCAAAGAUAACAACGCUGACUACUUCUGGCUUGUUGGAGUGAGCAGCUGGAGGAAAGGCUGUGCGAGAGCAAGACGGCCCAGAGUCUACACCUCCGCUCAGCACUUUUACGACUGGAUCCUGCUACAGAUGGGACUGCGCCCAGCAGGAAGGGGCACUCCAACAUCACGGCCAAGCCCAAUACCAACGCAGUCGGGCAGGUUUAGCUCCUGCCCAUUUCCACUCCAGAGGCUGGUGGAGUUCUUCACUUGGGUGCAGGAGCUCCUGCAGGUCCUGAGAGGAAGAAAGGCUUGAGCAGCAUGCUGAGAAGGAUCCAGUGCAGGCUGCAGCAUAGCAGCACUGGAUCCUUCUCCGGCAAUGGCUGCUCAUCCAAAGGCAGCGCGUGCUUUGCCUGGCGAGUCACCCUCCCACCGCUGGGUCCCCACCGCUGCUGGGGCUCACCUCCCCUUCCCCACCUGCAGCUCCUUGCCCAGUGCCCCCCUUGCCCCAGAGGCCUGCGACUCUGCCCACAAAGCCCAUCCAGUGCUCAUGGCAGCCCACAGGUCCACAGCCCAAGCCUGGAGCAUGUGCGUUCCACACGUGCAGGGUCACUGUGCAGAGAUGAGAGCGAGCCCUACCUUACAGGCCCACGACCCCCUCCCACACAAGCUCCUGUAGGCCCCGGCACCUGAGCGGGGCCUUUCUGUGCCGCAGAGUACAGCUCUGGCAGGUGCUGUGAGAGAGAAGGAGCCAGCCAUAGUGCUGACAGAGGCCACCCAACAACACCUUUGUCCUCUCUCCUCUGCUGCAGGGGGACAGUGGUCCUCUCGUCUGCGAAGAUAACAAGGCAGACUACCUCUGGCUGGUUGGAGUCACCAGCUGGGGGAAAGGCUGUUCCAGGGGAAGCCCCCGCACCUGGAUCAUCAGCAUCCAGGAUCCCUGGAAAACAGGCACAGGGCAUAUAUGCGGGGGGUCCCUCCUCAGCCCACAGUGGGUCCUCGCGGCGGCCCACUGCUUCAUUGAGGCCAGAUGAGGACCAGGGAAUGGGGAUAUCCCCACAGCACUAGCAGGUGCCCCGUUCAAGGCACCAUGUGCUACUCCCAUCCCGUUCCCUUGCAGCACGGCCCGUGCCUGGCACUCCAGGGCCGAGCUGACACACUGCUCAGGAGGAGGCUGGGCCUGUGCCACUGCUUCCUAGCAGCCUCCAAGUGCAUGCAAGUGCUAAAAAUGACAGUUCUUCCAAUAAAAUUGCCAAUUUUCAUAGCUAA